RNAcentral lists this ribosomal RNA (254 nucleotides) under uncultured bacterium. RNAcentral's name for it is "partial 16S ribosomal RNA". It matches the Rfam family "Bacterial small subunit ribosomal RNA", at positions 524 to 776 of the family's 1533-position model. The record is from RNAcentral.
UACGGGGGGAGCAAGCGUUGUUCGGAUUUACUGGGCGUAAAGGGUGCGUAGGCGGUCAGCACAAGUCAGUUGUGAAAUCUCCGAGCUUAACUCGGAAAGGUCAACUGAUACUGUGCGACUAGAGUGCGGAAGGGGCAACUGGAAUUCUUGGUGUAGCGGUGAAAUGCGUAGAUAUCAAGAGGAACACCUGCGGCGAAGGCGGGUUGCUGGGCCGACACUGACGCUGAGGCGCGAAAGCUAGGGGAGCGAACGGG